GACGAACGCUGGCGGCGUGCUUAACACAUGCAAGUCGAACGGUGAAGCGCCUUCCUUUUUGGUGGGUGUGGAUGAGUGGCGAACGGGUGAGUAACACGUGAGUAACCUGCCCCCUUCUUCUGGAUAACCGCAUGAAAGUGUGGCUAAUACGGGAUAUUCUGGGUCUGUCGCAUGAUGGGUCUGGGAAAGAUAUUGUUUCGGUGGGGGAUGGGCUCGCGGCCUAUCAGCUUGUUGGUGGGGUGAUGGCCUACCAAGGCGGUGACGGGUAGCCGGCCUGGGAGGGUGGCCGGUCACACUGGGACUGAGCCACGGCCCAGACUCCUACGGGGCGCAGAAGUGGGGGAUAUGGCACAGUGGGCGAUAGCCUGAUGCAGCGGCGCCGCGGGAGGGAUGGAGGCCUUCGGGUUGUGAACCUCUUUCGCCAGUGAAGCAGGCCUGCCUCGUUUGUGGGUGGGUUGACGGUAGCUGGAUAAGAAGCGCCGGCUAACUACGUG
Molecule: ribosomal RNA, 494 nt
Filed under: uncultured bacterium
Lineage: Bacteria
Description: partial 16S ribosomal RNA
Rfam family: Bacterial small subunit ribosomal RNA
Source: RNAcentral